Molecule: unclassified non-coding RNA, 305 nt
Filed under: Hevea brasiliensis (rubber tree)
Lineage: Eukaryota; Viridiplantae; Streptophyta; Magnoliopsida; Malpighiales; Euphorbiaceae
Source: RNAcentral
GAACCAAGAUGAGACCUAACAACCAUCUCACCAAUCUCUCUCUCUCCCCUCUUCCUAACCAGGUUCAAUCUAAUCCACACAAAUCAAGUGGACGUGUAAUGGAACAUAGCCUGGAAGAAGCUGAAAAACGGCUCCGUAUGUCGGGCAACGCAGAAAGAGAUUUUGAUCUUGUUCGUGGAUGGAUGCAUUCGGCUAUUUCAAUGAAGGAAAUGGAAGGUCUAGAUGCCAUGCUUAAUGAUUUUUCGAAGGGCUAUUUCAGUCUCUCCCUUGAGAACCGGCGUAAAUUGCUUCUCCUGCUUGCCAAA